Molecule: transfer RNA, 74 nt
Filed under: Podarcis lilfordi (Lilford's wall lizard)
Lineage: Eukaryota; Metazoa; Chordata; Lepidosauria; Squamata; Lacertidae
Description: tRNA.Lys
Rfam family: tRNA
About the family: Transfer RNA (tRNA) molecules are approximately 80 nucleotides in length. Their secondary structure includes four short double-helical elements and three loops (D, anti-codon, and T loops). Further hydrogen bonds mediate the characteristic L-shaped molecular structure. tRNAs have two regions of fundamental functional importance: the anti-codon, which is responsible for specific mRNA codon recognition, and the 3' end, to which the tRNAs corresponding amino acid is attached (by aminoacyl-tRNA synthetases). tRNAs cope with the degeneracy of the genetic code in two manners: having more than one tRNA (with a specific anti-codon) for a particular amino acid; and 'wobble' base-pairing, i.e. permitting non-standard base-pairing at the 3rd anti-codon position.
Source: RNAcentral
UCCCAGGAUAGCUCAGUUGGUAGAGAACGAGACUCUUAAUCUCAGGGUUGUAGGUUUGAGACCCAUACUGGGCA